Molecule: ribosomal RNA, 463 nt
Filed under: uncultured bacterium
Lineage: Bacteria
Description: partial 16S ribosomal RNA
Rfam family: Bacterial small subunit ribosomal RNA
Source: RNAcentral
GAUGAACGCUGACAGAAUGCUUAACACAUGCAAGUCUUUGGCGAAGCUGCGCUUGCACAGCCUAGCUAAGGCGGCCGGGUGAGUAACGCGUAAGGAACUUGCCCUGCAGUCAGGGAUAACAGACGGAAACGACUGAUAAGACCUGGUAAAGUCAGGCGGACUCAUGUCCAGUCUGAUGAAAAGGGAUGGUGCUGGGGUGACUUGCCGCCUAAUAGCUUGUUGGUGGGGUAACGGCCCACCAAGGGCAUGGUAGGUAGCCGGGCUGAGAGGGUGGACGGGCACAAGGGGAGUGAGAGACGGCACUUACACGGACGGGAGGCAGCGGUGGUGAAUAUUGGACAAUGGAAGCAACACUGAGCCAGCAAGUCUGUGUGAAGGAUGAAGGUUUUCGGAUUGUAAAGUGCGUUCAGCACGGAAGAAAAUAAUGACGGUACCUGCAGAAGAAGCGACGGCUAAAUACGUG